This 253-nucleotide ribosomal RNA is filed under the name uncultured bacterium. RNAcentral's name for it is "partial 16S ribosomal RNA". It matches the Rfam family "Bacterial small subunit ribosomal RNA", at positions 524 to 776 of the family's 1533-position model. The record is from RNAcentral.
UACGUAGGGCGCAAGCGUUAUCCGGAAUUAUUGGGCGUAAAGAGCUCGUAGGCGGUUUGUCGCGUCGACUGUGAAAACCCGAGGCUUAACCUCGGGCCUGCAGUCGAUACGGGCAGACUAGAGUUCGGUAGGGGAGACUGGAAUUCCUGGUGUAGCGGUGAAAUGCGCAGAUAUCAGGAGGAACACCGGUGGCGAAGGCGGGUCUCUGGGCCGAUACUGACGCUGAGGAGCGAAAGUGUGGGGAGCGAACAGG